GUGCCAGCAGCCGCGGUAAUACGGGGGGUGCAAGCGUUAUUCGGAAUUAUUGGGCGUAAAGGGCGCGUAGGCGGUCUCCUAAGUCAGAUGUGAAAGCCCGGGGCUUAACCCCGGAAGUGCAUUUGAAACUAAGGGACUUGAGUAUGGGAGAGGGAAGUGGAAUUCCUGGUGUAGAGGUGAAAUUCGUAGAUAUCAGGAGGAACACCGGUGGCGAAGGCGACUUCCUGGACCAAUACUGACGCUGAGGCGCGAAGGCGUGGGGAGCAAACAGGAUUAGAUACCCUGGUAGUCC
RNAcentral lists this ribosomal RNA (292 nucleotides) under uncultured bacterium. RNAcentral's name for it is "partial 16S ribosomal RNA". It matches the Rfam family "Bacterial small subunit ribosomal RNA", at positions 505 to 796 of the family's 1533-position model. The record is from RNAcentral.